GCAGAGGGAUAGCCCAGAGAAAUUUGGAUUAAAUACCUCAUUAGUAUGUGAGGAUGGCAUCAUUUCACAUUAAACGUCACAACGGCAAAAGAUGAGCAUGCGUCCCAUUAGCUAGUUGGUAAGGUAACGGCUUACCAAGGCUACGAUGGGUAGGGGUCCUGAGAGGGAGAUCCCCCACACUGGUACUGAGACACGGACCAGACUCCUACGGGAGGCAGCAGUGAGGAAUAUUGGACAAUGGGCGACAAGCCUGAUCCAGCCAUGCCGCGUGCACGGAUGACGGUCCUAUGGAUUGUAAACUGCUUUGUACAGGAAGAAACACUACUUCGUGAAGUAGCUUGACGGUACUGUAAGAAUAAGGAUCGGCUAACUCCGUG
RNAcentral lists this ribosomal RNA (377 nucleotides) under uncultured bacterium. RNAcentral's name for it is "bacterial SSU rRNA". It matches the Rfam family "Bacterial small subunit ribosomal RNA", at positions 135 to 507 of the family's 1533-position model. The record is from RNAcentral.